This is an RNA transcript of Cyprinus carpio (common carp), 327 nucleotides long. RefSeq lists it as uncharacterized. The record is from RefSeq and is a predicted model, not a curated record. NCBI's taxonomy places the organism in Eukaryota, Metazoa, Chordata, Actinopteri, Cypriniformes, Cyprinidae.
UUAUAGUUCUACAGGGUCACUUUGUCUGUUCCGCUUUUAUUUUGAAAAGCGCCGUUUUUCUUCGGAUGGUUUUUUUUUGUGACGCUAGACUUCCGCUACUCUCUUUUCACAAUGUGGUGUUCACGUAUCGUCGGAAGAACGAGCUCUGAACUGUGAGGGUGUGUCGAGCUAGAGAGCAUGGUAGCUGAUGGCAGAAACUCUUUGAUUAGCGCCCUUGGAGAAGCGGAAUGAGUUUUCACGGUGUUCAUGGUGCAUGGUGCUUGUUGAGAGGAAGAAAUAAAUUGACACCCGUUUGAAACUCUCUGCGUCUUGAUCAAUAUAUCCGAG